UUAUGAUGCCUACAAAUAAACAUGCCAAUGGAAAAAUCAAAUUCAAUCAUUAUGAUUAUCUACUUCAAUCAUUAUGAUUAUCUCAGUAUUUGGAGUUUUUACUCCAAGUCAAACUAAUUUGUAGUCUCUACAUAGUCACAGGCUGACCAGGAUUAAAUUAAAUAUUUAGAUAUUGAUAGAGAGCCUCUGACCCCAGAGGACUUGCAAUCUCCCUGUAACUGUGUCACUUAGAUUGGUUUACACAGAAGAUUGUAAUCAGGAAAGGAGCCAGUCAGAGAACUCCCAUGAAGAGGGAAAAGUUAAGAAGAAUAAGCAUAGGUCUGUGUGCAUGUGUGUGUAUUUUACAUAAGUCACUGAUUCUGAGGACAACUCACCUGAANNNNNNNNNNNNNNNNNNNNNNNNNNNNNNNNNNNNNCAGGAAUCCAGGGGAAAUAUAUUCAUUCCAGGUAAAAUGAACAAAGGAAGCAGAAACAGAAUAGACAGUGCCAACAGAGUAUAUAACAGACCUUCAAGAAGUGAGAGUUACUAUUGCUGUUGUUAUUGUAAUCCAUGUUAAAUCUACCUUCUGUCCUCCUACUGCUCUUGGAAAGAAGUCCCCUUUGAUUUUUCAGAUGAGAUUUUUGGAAUAGAAGGCCAGAAACCAGUGGCAUAUGCAAAUUUGGUAUGUGAAAACUGACAGGAUAUUUCCAAAUCCAUAUGAAUAAUGUGUGUUACAGUUUUCAAAGCUGUGUCAUAGCCUUAUUAAAUCUUCGCAAUAGCCUAUGAGAAGGACAGGAAGGUACAUACUCUUCCCCAUUUUAUAGGGAAGGACACAGAGAAAAAGAAGUUAAUUUUUUGUUUCAAAUAAUACAGAUGGUAAUUAACAAAGCUUGGGCUCAAAAAGAUUCCCUGAUUCCAAGUCUUUCCAUUUGUAAAAUGCACACCAUGUCCCAAGAACUCAUUAUCUCAUUUCUUGGGUACCCCAAGUCCAAGAUCCCAGGGCAUCUGUCUAUGGGUAGAAUAUUUAAUAAGUAGACAAGUAACACCGUAUAUGUAGAUAUGGGUUAGAAAGAUGCAAAUAAAGGAUUUAAAAGAUCACAACUCAUUUAAAUAUAUGAGACAGAGAAAUUAUUACCUUUUACCUAGAGGGAGGGUCUCAAAAUAUUCAUGUACCUUAUUAAUAAAAAUAUUUUAAACAUGAACCAUGUAUAAAUUUAUAUACACAAACAUAAGCACUUUUAAAUUACAUUGACAUAAUUACAUAGAUAAGAAUAAUGAAGUUUUACUAUAAAACUAAUGUAAUAUUAUGUAUGUGAUAAAAUACACACUGAUUUUAUUAUUUUUAUUUUUUAUAGUAAUUUUUAAAGAAUAAAACAACUAUAAAAUAAAAUAUUAUGCUUGUUUUCUUAUAAGCCAGUUAUUUAGCAUGCAUCCUUCUGGGCCAUAUAUACCCCAUUUGAUGACAAUUCACCUAGAGAAUUAUAUCUAAGGUUCCUGGAAUGACAAAGUCCUCCAUAACCUGGCCCCUGUGUAUGUAUGUCUGUGUGUGUUUGCUCCCUUCCCACUAUUGUAAUAUCUCUGCGGGAACCAACAAUGCCAUAUUUCUCUUUUCAUCUCUCUCUGCUCCUUGUUCUCUGAGACAUUUUACCAAUGGGUUAACCAGACAUUUUGCUCCAAAGGGAUGUUUGCUCUAUGGAAAAAGGAAUUAAUUUCAUCAUAUGUUUUGCUUUUUAAAAAAUUUUUCAGUUUAAGUACAAGCCAGAGAAAGAUUUGAAAAAAAAUAUCUUAAGAAUGAGUUCUCCCUACCAUAGUAGACAUAAGAACACCCUGGGCAAGAGAAGGGAAAAGAAGAGAGUUGGAGAGAAAAAAAGAAAAGUAGAUGCUAGUUGUUUUAUGAGGAGAGGUCCUGAUGGGAUAUUAUUUCAUGGGCAGAAAUAGCAAAGGCAGACUCACCUAAUAUCUUGAGGCCUCAGAGGGCAGCAUGAUUGUGACCACAAUUUUCCUGUCCCUUAAAAGAAUAUGGCAGUUAGCUGAGAAAGAGAGCCAGUCAUGGCAGGGAGAUAGCUCAGUGAAAAACAUGGACCAUAUGGCCUUAAACUAGCCUGGUGAACACAUCAGCUCAUGCCCAUGAGUAAAAGACCUCCAGACCCAAAGUCUGUGCAGACAAGGUUGUACAUACAGUUAACAACAAUGUAUACAGACAUGCAUGCUUCAUGAACAUGUGGGAGCAUGGAUCCCUGCAGGGGAAGUAAAAGGGGAGAAAUAAUCCUAAAAUGAAAUGGAUGGAGAAAAACUGGGAUUAACAUGGUUAACUUUUCUAUGCUCAAAUAGGAAGGGGAUUAAAUCCAUCUGUUCAAAAGAAUGACUAAGAAGAGAUUAAGCUUUCAUUCCCUGGAUGCAUCUUCCCACAAAAUAGAGUGUAAGCCAGUCCUUUUGAGCUUUAAAACUAGCAUAAUCUUCUCUUCCUUACUGACAUAUGCUCUAUUGAACAUCUUUUCUCAAAAUAGACCAGUUUCGCCCACGUUGAAAAUCU
RNAcentral lists this long non-coding RNA (2513 nucleotides) under Sus scrofa (pig). RNAcentral's name for it is "lncRNA (ENSSSCG00005027418.1)". The record is from RNAcentral. Lineage: Eukaryota; Metazoa; Chordata; Mammalia; Artiodactyla; Suidae.